AUUGAACGCUGGCGGCAGGCUUAACACAUGCAAGUCGAGCGGAGAGAGGUAGCUUGCUACUGAUCUUAGCGGCGGACGGGUGAGUAAUGCUUAGGAAUCUGCCUAUUAGCGGGGGACAACAUUUCGAAAGGAAUGCUAAUACCGCAUACGUCCUACGGGAGAAAGCAGGGGAUCUUCGGACCUUGCGCUAAUAGAUGAGCCUAAGUCGGAUUAGCUAGUUGGUGGGGUAAAGGCCUACCAAGGCGACGAUCUGUAGCGGGUCUGAGAGGAUGAUCCGCCACACUGGGUCUGAGACACGGCCCAGACUCCUACGGGAGGCAGCAGUGGGGAAUAUUGGACAAUGGGCGGAAGCCUGAUCCAGCCAUGCCGCGUGUGUGAAGAAGGCCUUAUGGUUGUAAAGCACUUUAAGCGAGGAGGAGGCUACUUUAGUUAAUACCUAGAGAUAGUGGACGUUACUCGCAGAAUAAGCACCGGCUAACUCUGUGCCAGCCGCCGCAGUAA
RNAcentral lists this ribosomal RNA (501 nucleotides) under uncultured bacterium. RNAcentral's name for it is "partial 16S ribosomal RNA". It matches the Rfam family "Bacterial small subunit ribosomal RNA", at positions 30 to 523 of the family's 1533-position model. The record is from RNAcentral.